GAACAGGAAAGAGCCCAAACCGGCAGAUUUAUCUGCCGGGGUUGUAGGACUGAGACAUGGCACUUCAGAGGAUAGCAGAAGCGUUUGGGAAAGCGCGCCAGAGAGGGUGAGAGCCCCGUAAGCGAAAUCCAAAGAAGGCCUAUCAGUAUCCUGAGUAGGGCGGGACACGUGAAAUCCCGUUUGAAUCCGCGAGGACCAUCUCGCAAGGCUAAAUACUAACCAGUGACCGAUAGUGAACCAGUACCGUGAGGGAAAGGUGAAAAGAACCCCGGGAGGGGAGUGAAAGAGAACCUGAAACCGUGUGCCUACAAGUAGUCAGAGCCCGUUAACGGGUAAUGGCGUGCCUUUUGUAGAAUGAACCGGCGAGUUGCGUUAGUCAGCAAGGUUAAGUCAGAAAAGACGGAGCCG
This 408-nucleotide ribosomal RNA is filed under the name Lactobacillus delbrueckii subsp. bulgaricus. RNAcentral describes it as "partial 23S ribosomal RNA". It matches the Rfam family "Bacterial large subunit ribosomal RNA", at positions 255 to 668 of the family's 2925-position model. The record is from RNAcentral. Lineage: Bacteria; Bacillati; Bacillota; Bacilli; Lactobacillales; Lactobacillaceae.